Molecule: long non-coding RNA, 2128 nt
Organism: Panicum hallii
Lineage: Eukaryota; Viridiplantae; Streptophyta; Magnoliopsida; Poales; Poaceae
Exons: 3
Source: RefSeq, a predicted model, not a curated record
CUGAGUUGUAAGUGCAUCAACCCGGUUUAGAACUUGGCUAGCUGUUGCUAACUAGUUGAAAGUAGCCGGGAGCUGAUUUGAAAUGUCUGAAAAAUUUAUGUUCUUUCUGCUUGCCUUUUAACCUAUCCAUUUUAAGAUUUUUGACACUGGAAAUGUACUCCCCGCCUCUGGAAAUGUACACCCUGCCUUUAUUUAUUGUUACGCUUGGUGCUCUCUCAAGAUAAUUUGCUAAGUCCAAUCCAGAUCAUGUUACUCUGUGUUCCAGUUUAAUUGAUGAUUUUAGUUGCAACUUUCUGCUCCCCCUGCGCAUCAAUGUAAAGCACAUUUUUUGUUUGAAAACUUUGCAAUUGAUUAUGCGUGUUGUUAGUGUUCAAAAGUUCUAUCGAUAGAUUUGAUUCAAAAUAUUUUGUAAUAAUUAACAGUAUAUUGUAAGAGAAAUUGAAGGUCAAAAUUGACGUUUGAAGGCCUUCUAAUACAAAAUACUCCUUAGAUUGAUGGACAGAGGAGAAGCUUGUAAUAUGUUCAACUAUUAUGCAAAUUGGGUCAUCGGUGUCUUUACGUGCAUAAUGCUCUCUUGUUUGAACAUAGUUGUACCAAAUCUACUAAUGUAUUAGUUUUAUUCUCUCUGUUGGGAUCUAGCAUAUUAGUGACUGGGCGAUCCUGCUGCAUUCCUGACUAAUUACAAUCAAUCUUGAACUACAUUCAGAUUCGAAGUACCUAUUCCUUGCCCUGGUGGAUCUCUUUUAUGUUUUAACAAAAUAAAUGCUUGCAAAAUAAUUUAACUUAUAUUUGUUGUGACUGAUUUGUUUAUUAGUUCAGCUCUCAUAUUUGGAAUCUGAAAACCUGAGGAUCUCAUAGUGUUUUCUGUAUUAUGUUUGGUUAAAUUCUUAGCAAAUUGUUACUGUGAUCGAUGGAGGAACGGCCCUGUGUUCUGCCUCUUAGUUGUACUGUGAUCAAUUAUAUGAAUCUAGCGAUUCUGCCAGCCUUUUCUGCAGCAGCAGAUUUGCAGCUUUUUCAUUGUGCUUGGUGCAAUUAUCAGGUUCACCAACUCCUAUGGUGCUAGGAUGGGGUCAAAGUGCUGAAAGAUCAUAUUAAUGUUGCUUCUACUGCUUGCCAUUUGCAUGCUGCUGCUGCGGAGCUGCUAUUCAGUGUAAAUAAUUUAAAUGUUUAGUCAGUCAGUAACAUGCUGUGGUUCAUCUAAGCUACAUGUCCAUUGCGUGCCUAGUUAGCUACAUGCUUUUGAUCUGUCCUUUGUGGUACUUGGCAUAAAGAGUUCCCUGUAAUUGCCUUUUAUGCUUGUCAUGAAAAAGGAAAUUGAUAAUUGAUGCUUUGUUCCUGCUGAGUUGUUUGUGGGGCCUUUCAUGUAAUUCUUUUGUGGAAGCAUUGUUAUGGAUCAUUUCUUUUUAACUUGCAUAUAGUUUCAAUCUUGGAUGCAUGUGCUUCAGCCCAUUAUUGAUGUCUGAAACGUAUCCUUGGAUGACAUGAAAAGGUGAUAUCCCUGGGAGUAGAAAAAGAAGAUGUUUCUCAAAGUGGCUGACAGCUGAGAUGAGGAUAUGGCAAAGUGCUGAUCGUCGUUGCCGAUGGAGACAGGAAUAGCAAAAUGAACAGAUGAUUACGUUUGUGACCUCUGAUUGCAAGGGUGAGGCGGCAAGUGGAUUGUGCGCAGAGGUCCAACAAGGGAAUUCUCUUCGAGUGGUGGGUUAAAGUGGCUUAUCUUAAUGUGCAUCUGAUCCUCUCUCAGGCCUGCGAUAGCGAGAUUCAAAUUAAAGUAUGGCACCUCCUCGAUAAUGUUCCUGUUUCGCCGCUUUAUCCAUGGAAAAGCAAUGCCUCCUAUCUACCACCCAAGAAAGCCUUUGCAAGUGAAAUUUCCAACAUGGAAGAUUCUCCCGUGUGGGGCUGGUAAAUAAUUUGGUCUGGUUCUGGUCUGUUUUCGGCUAGGCACACUGGUGCCAUAAUCGAAAUGUCACAUGAAGGCUGGCAGGUGCAUCUGAAUCAAGUCCAUUGCUCAGUCUGUGGCCCGGGAAGAGCUAGCUGUUCUUUGAAAAAAAAAAACAGAGAGAGGGAGCGAGAGAAUGAAAAAUUUGACUGUGCAUGAUGUAUCGUUGGUAAAACUUCCUUUGUCGUGGCG